This 587-nucleotide ribosomal RNA is filed under the name uncultured bacterium. Its description in RNAcentral is "bacterial SSU rRNA". It matches the Rfam family "Bacterial small subunit ribosomal RNA", at positions 338 to 917 of the family's 1533-position model. The record is from RNAcentral.
CCUACGGGAGGCAGCAGUGGGGAAUUUUGGACAAUGGGCGCAAGCCUGAUCCAGCAAUGCCGCGUGAGUGAAGAAGGCCUUCGGGUUGUAAAGCUCUUUUGUCAGGGAAGAAACGGCUGAGGUUAAUACCUUCGGCUAAUGACGGUACCUGAAGAAUAAGCACCGGCUAACUACGUGCCAGCAGCCGCGGUAAUACGUAGGGUGCAAGCGUUAAUCGGAAUUACUGGGCGUAAAGCGUGCGCAGGCGGUUUUGUAAGUCUGUCGUGAAAUCCCCGGGCUCAACCUGGGAAUUGCGAUGGAGACUGCAAAGCUGGAGUCUGGCAGAGGGGGGUAGAAUUCCACGUGCAGCAGUGAAAUGCGUAGAGAUGUGGAGGAACACCGAUGGCGAAGGCAGCCCCCUGGGUCAAGACUGACGCUCAUGCACGAAAGCGUGGGGAGCAAACAGGAUUAGAUACCCUGGUAGUCCACGCCCUAAACGAUGUCUACUAGUUGUCGGGUUUUAAUUAACUUGGUAACGCAGCUAACGCGUGAAGUAGACCGCCUGGGGAGUACGGUCGCAAGAUUAAAACUCAAAUGAAAUUGACCGG